GUUGCAUUUUACAGUUAAAUCUUAUCCAGAAGAUAUUAACAAUUCAAACUGUACAAAAAACUUUAAGAAGAAAGAAAUGUUGCAUCCCUGAAUAUGACUGAUCUUCAUAAAGGAAAGUCAGAGAACUUGGAGGACCAAAGGGCAGUUGGACAAGCACUGCGUGGCCAUAUUGACGAAAGGAAUGAUGAGGGAUGGUCACUGGGGAAAUGAGCACA
This 215-nucleotide long non-coding RNA is filed under the name Scleropages formosus (Asian bonytongue). Its description in RNAcentral is "lncRNA (ENSSFOG00015029502.1)". The record is from RNAcentral. Lineage: Eukaryota; Metazoa; Chordata; Actinopteri; Osteoglossiformes; Osteoglossidae.